RNAcentral lists this ribosomal RNA (608 nucleotides) under Curvibasidium nothofagi. Its description in RNAcentral is "eukaryotic LSU rRNA". It matches the Rfam family "Eukaryotic large subunit ribosomal RNA", at positions 45 to 651 of the family's 3401-position model. The record is from RNAcentral. Lineage: Eukaryota; Fungi; Basidiomycota; Microbotryomycetes.
AAUAAGCGGAGGAAAAGAAACUAACAAGGAUUCCCCUAGUAACGGCGAGUGAAGCGGGAAGAGCUCAAAUUUGUAAUCUGGCACUUUCAGUGUCCGAGUUGUAAUCUCGAGAAGUGUUUUCCGCGCCGGACCGCAUACAAGUCUGUUGGAAUACAGCGUCAUAGUGGUGAGAACCCCGUAACUGAUGCGGAUGCCCGGUGCUUUGUGAUACACUUUCGAAGAGUCGAGUUGUUUGGGAAUGCAGCUCAAAUUGGGUGGUAAAUUCCAUCUAAAGCUAAAUAUUGGCGAGAGACCGAUAGCGAACAAGUACCGUGAGGGAAAGAUGAAAAGCACUUUGGAAAGAGAGUUAACAGUACGUGAAAUUGUUGGAAGGGAAACGAUUGAAGUCAGACUUGUUAUCUGGAGUUCAGCCUUUCGGUGUACUCUCCAGUUUACAGGCCAGCAUCAGUUUUCGGGGCGGGAAAAUCGUAAUUAGAAGGUAGCAGCCUAGCUGUGUUAUAGCUUUUUACUGGAUUCCGCUUUGGGGACUGAGGAACGCAGUGUGCUUUUAGCAAUACCCUCGGGUAUUUCACACUUAGGAUGCUGGUGGAAUGGCUUUAAACGACCCG